RNAcentral lists this transfer RNA (76 nucleotides) under Pyrinomonadaceae bacterium. RNAcentral's name for it is "tRNA-Val". It matches the Rfam family "tRNA". From Rfam's summary of the family: Transfer RNA (tRNA) molecules are approximately 80 nucleotides in length. Their secondary structure includes four short double-helical elements and three loops (D, anti-codon, and T loops). Further hydrogen bonds mediate the characteristic L-shaped molecular structure. tRNAs have two regions of fundamental functional importance: the anti-codon, which is responsible for specific mRNA codon recognition, and the 3' end, to which the tRNAs corresponding amino acid is attached (by aminoacyl-tRNA synthetases). tRNAs cope with the degeneracy of the genetic code in two manners: having more than one tRNA (with a specific anti-codon) for a particular amino acid; and 'wobble' base-pairing, i.e. permitting non-standard base-pairing at the 3rd anti-codon position. The record is from RNAcentral. Lineage: Bacteria; Pseudomonadati; Acidobacteriota; Blastocatellia; Blastocatellales; Pyrinomonadaceae.
GCCCGCUUAGCUCAGUUGGUAGAGCGCACGCUUCACACGCGUGAAGUCAGAAGUUCGAGUCUUCUAGCGGGCACCA